CCUACGGGAGGCAGCAGUGAGGAAUAUUGGUCAAUGGACGCGAGCCUGAACCAGCCAUGUAGCGUGAAGGAUGACUGCCCUAUGGUUUGUAAACUUCUUCUAUCUGGGAGUAAAAUUCUCCGCUUGUGAGCUUUUGUAUUUACAUUAUGAACAAGGAUCGGCUAACUCCGUGCCAGCCGCCGCGGUAAUACGGAGGAUCCGAGCGUUAUCCGGCUUUAUGGGGUUUAAAGGGAACGUAGGUGGAUUGUUAAGUCAGUUGUGAAAGUUUGCGGCUCAACCGUAAAAUUGCAGUUGAUACUGGUAGUCUAGAGUACAGUAGAGGUGGGCGGAAUUCGAUGUGUAGCGGUGAAAUGCUUAGAUAUGACGAAGAAUACCGAUUGCGAAGGCAGUUCACUGGACUACAACUGACGCUGAGGCACGAAAGUGUGGGGAUCAAACAGGAUUAGAUACCCGUGUAGUC
RNAcentral lists this ribosomal RNA (460 nucleotides) under uncultured bacterium. RNAcentral's name for it is "partial 16S ribosomal RNA". It matches the Rfam family "Bacterial small subunit ribosomal RNA", at positions 338 to 795 of the family's 1533-position model. The record is from RNAcentral.